Molecule: ribosomal RNA, 120 nt
Filed under: Caldifarciminota bacterium SM23_60
Lineage: Bacteria; Pseudomonadati; Caldifarciminota
Source: RNAcentral
CCCGGUGGCUAUACCGAUGGGGAAACACCUCUUCCCAUUCCGAACAGAGAAGUUAAGCCCAUCAGGGCCGAUGGUACUAUACUGGUGACGGUAUGGAACAGCUAAAGGCUGAAAUCGAUC